GACGAACGCUGGCGGCGUGCUUAACACAUGCAAGUCGAACGGAAAGGCCCUGCUUUUGUGGGGUGCUCGAGUGGCGAACGGGUGAGUAACACGUGAGUAACCUGCCCUUGACUUUGGGAUAACUUCAGGAAACUGGGGCUAAUACCGGAUAGGAGCUCCUGCUGCAUGGUGGGGGUGGGAAAGUUUCGGCGGUUGGGGAUGGACUCGCGGCUUAUCAGCUUGUUGGUGGGGUAGUGGCAUACCAAGGCUUUGACGGGUAGCCGGCCUGAGAGGGUGACCGGCCACAUUGGGCCUGAGAUACGGCCCAGACUCCUACGGGAGGCAGCAGUGGGGAGUAUUGCACAAUGGGCGGAAGCCUGAUGCAGCAACGCCGCGUGCGGGAUGACGGCCUUCGGGUUGUAAACCGCUUUCGCCUGUGACGAAGCGUGAGUGACGGUAAUGGGUAAAGAAGCACCGGCUAACUACGUG
Molecule: ribosomal RNA, 468 nt
Filed under: uncultured bacterium
Lineage: Bacteria
Description: partial 16S ribosomal RNA
Rfam family: Bacterial small subunit ribosomal RNA
Source: RNAcentral